This 301-nucleotide ribosomal RNA is filed under the name uncultured bacterium. Its description in RNAcentral is "partial 16S ribosomal RNA". It matches the Rfam family "Bacterial small subunit ribosomal RNA", at positions 509 to 807 of the family's 1533-position model. The record is from RNAcentral.
CAGUCGCCGCGGGAAAACGGAGGGUGCAAGCGUUAUCCGGAUUUAUUGGGUUUAAAGGGUCCGUAGGCGGAUCUGUAAGUCAGUGGUGAAAUCUCACAGCUUAACUGUGAAACUGCCAUUGAUACUGCAGGUCUUGAGUAAAUUUGAAGUGGCUGGAAUAAGUAGUGUAGCGGUGAAAUGCAUAGAUAUUACUUAGAACACCAAUUGCGAAGGCAGGUCACUAAGAUUUAACUGACGCUGAUGAACGAAAGCGUGGGGAGCGAACAGGAUUAGAGACCCCGGUAGUCCCUGUCUCUUAUAC